Molecule: non-coding RNA, 111 nt
Filed under: Brachypodium distachyon (stiff brome)
Lineage: Eukaryota; Viridiplantae; Streptophyta; Magnoliopsida; Poales; Poaceae
Description: Bacterial large subunit ribosomal RNA
Rfam family: Bacterial large subunit ribosomal RNA
Source: Rfam by way of RNAcentral
GAAUUGUUUGUUGAUCAGGAUGAAGCUUGGAUGAAACUAAGCAGAGGUCCGAACCGACUGAUGUUGAAGAAUCAGCGGAUGAGUUGUGGUUAGGGGUGAAAUGCCACUCGA